This 286-nucleotide long non-coding RNA is filed under the name Heterocephalus glaber (naked mole-rat). Its description in RNAcentral is "lncRNA (ENSHGLG00100041218.1)". The record is from RNAcentral. Lineage: Eukaryota; Metazoa; Chordata; Mammalia; Rodentia; Bathyergidae.
CCCCCUCGGCUGCCUGCCGGGCUGCGCACCUGGGCGCGCGGCGCUGGAAGCCUCGCGGGUCGCCGCGCCAUGGCCUUCACCUUCGCCGCCUUCUGCUACAUGCUGGCCCUCGUGCUGUGCGCCGCGCUCAUCUUCUUCGCCAUCUGGCACGUCACAGUCCAGUUCCCCAGGCUUAGUCCUGCUUCCCUCGCCCGGCCGCGCUUUCGCUCAGAAACAGCCAGACUCACGGCACUGAUUUGCCUCCUGAGCCUUGAGAAGGGAAAUUGCAGUCGUACGGACUUCCGAG